AGCAGCCGCGGUAAUUCCAGCUCCAAUAGCGUAUAUUAAAGUUGUUGCAGUUAAAAAGCUCGUAGUUGAAUUUCGGGAUCAGUGGGUCGGUCGUGCCUCUGGUACGUACUGGUCUUACUGGUUCCUCCCUUCUGAAGAACCGCGAUGUCAUUAAUUUGGUGUUGCGGGGAAUCAGGACUGUUACUGUGAAAAAAUUAGAGUGUUUAAAGCAGGCUAAAGCUUGAAUACAUUAGCAUGGAAUAAUGAAAUAGGACGUUUGAUCUUAUUUUGUUGGUUUCUAAGAUCGACGUAAUGAUUAAUAGGGAUAGUUGGGGGCAUUAGUAUUCAAUUGUCAGAGGUGAAAUUCUUGGAUUUAUUGA
This 359-nucleotide small RNA is filed under the name uncultured Glomerales. RNAcentral's name for it is "SSU rRNA". It matches the Rfam family "Eukaryotic small subunit ribosomal RNA", at positions 569 to 932 of the family's 1831-position model. Lineage: Eukaryota; Fungi; Glomeromycota; Glomeromycetes; Glomerales; Glomeraceae. The record is from RNAcentral.